UACGAAGGGGGCUAGCGUUGCUCGGAAUCACUGGGCGUAAAGGGUGCGUAGGCGGGUUUUUAAGUCAGAGGUGAAAUCCUGGAGCUCAACUCCAGAACUGCCUUUGAUACUGAAAGUCUUGAGUAUGGGAGAGGUGAGUGGAACUGCGAGUGUAGAGGUGAAAUUCGUAGAUAUUCGGAGGAACACCAGUGGCGAAGGCGGCUCACUGGUCCAUUACUGACGCUGAGGUGCGAAAGCGUGGGGAGCAAACAGG
Molecule: ribosomal RNA, 253 nt
Filed under: uncultured bacterium
Lineage: Bacteria
Description: partial 16S ribosomal RNA
Rfam family: Bacterial small subunit ribosomal RNA
Source: RNAcentral